UCGAGGAUCUUUGGCAAUGAGCGCAAGCUUGACCAAGCGACGCCGCGUGGACGAUGAAGGCCUUCGGGUUGUAAAGUCCUGUCGAGGGGGAUCAAGGGCAACUUGAGUGAUCCCUGGAGGAAGCACGGGCUAAGUUCGUGCCAGCAGCCGCGGUAAGACGAACCGUGCAAACGUUGUUCGGAAUCACUGGGCUUAAAGGGCGCGUAGGCGGCUGACCAAGUCCGGGUGAAAUCCUGCAGCUUAACUGUAGAAGUGCCUUGGAUACUGGUUGGCUCGAGGGAGAUAGGGGUCUGUGGAACUGCUGGUGGAGCGGUGAAAUGCGUUGAUAUCAGCAGGAACGCCGGUGGCGAAAGCGACGGACUGGAUCGUUUUCUGACGCUGAGGCGCGAAAGCUAGGGGAGCGAAACGGGAUUAGAUACCCCGGUAGUCCUAGCCCUAAACGAUGGGCACUAGGUUGUGUGCUAACAUGGGCGCACAACCGAAGCAAAAGUGUUAAG
This 497-nucleotide ribosomal RNA is filed under the name uncultured Planctomycetota bacterium. Its description in RNAcentral is "bacterial SSU rRNA". It matches the Rfam family "Bacterial small subunit ribosomal RNA", at positions 355 to 864 of the family's 1533-position model. The record is from RNAcentral. Lineage: Bacteria; Pseudomonadati; Planctomycetota.